ACGGGGUGCAGCAGGCGCGAAAACUCCGCAAUUCGCGAAAGCGUGACGGGGGAACUCCGAGUGCUGCAGCGUUAGCUGUAGCUUUUGUAGAGUGUAAAUAUCUCUACGAAUAAGGGCGGGGCAAGACCGGUGCCAGCCGCCGCGGUAACACCGGCCGCUCAAGUGGUGAUCGUUAUUAUUGGGCCUAAAGCGUCCGUAGCCUGUCUGAUAAGUCCUUGGGUAAAUCCUGACGCUUAACGUUAGGAAUUCUAGGGAUACUGCCAGACUCGAGGCCGAGAGAAGUCAGAGGUACUCUUGGGGUAGCGGUGAAAUGCUGUAAUCCUGAGGGGACCACCAGUGGCGAAGGCGUCUGACUAGAGCGGGCCUGACGGUGAGGGACGAAAGCCAGGGUAGCGAACGGGAUUAGAUACCCCGGUAGUCCUGGCCGUAAACGCUGCGCGCUAGGUGUUGCAUGCUCUACGGGGGCAUGCAGUGCCGAAGAGAAGUUGAUAAGCGUGCCGCCUGGAAGUACCAUCGCAAG
Molecule: ribosomal RNA, 520 nt
Filed under: uncultured archaeon
Lineage: Archaea
Description: bacterial SSU rRNA
Rfam family: Archaeal small subunit ribosomal RNA
Source: RNAcentral